GAUGAAGAACGCAGCGAAAUGCGAUACGUAAUGUGAAUUGCAGAAUUCAGUGAAUCAUCGAAUCUUUGAACGCAUAUUGCGCUCUCUGGUAUUCCGGAGAGCAUGCUUGUUUGAGUAUCAGUAAACACCUCAACUCCCUUUUCUUUUUUGAAAUUGGAGCUGGACUUGAGUGAUCCCAACGCUUUCUUCCAAGAAAGUGGCGGGUUGCUUGAAAUGCAGGUGCAGCUGAACUUUUCUCUGAGCUAUAAGCAUAUCUAUUUAGUCUGCCUAAAAAACAGAUUAUUACCUUUGCUGCAGCUAACAUAAGGGAGACUAGUUCUUGUGCUGACUGAUGCAGGAUUCACAGAGACAGCUUCGGCUGACUUUGUAAACUCGAUCUCAAAUCAAGUAAGACUACCCGCUGAACUUAAGCAUAUCAAUAAGCGGAGGA
Molecule: unclassified non-coding RNA, 430 nt
Filed under: soil metagenome
Description: partial contains 5.8S ribosomal RNA, internal transcribed spacer 2, and large subunit ribosomal RNA
Rfam family: 5.8S ribosomal RNA (bases 1-120)
Source: RNAcentral